RNAcentral lists this ribosomal RNA (253 nucleotides) under uncultured bacterium. Its description in RNAcentral is "partial 16S ribosomal RNA". It matches the Rfam family "Bacterial small subunit ribosomal RNA", at positions 524 to 776 of the family's 1533-position model. The record is from RNAcentral.
UACGAGAGGCCCAAACGUUAUUCGGAUUUACUGGGCUUAAAGAGUUCGUAGGCGGCGCAGAAAGUAGGGUGUGAAAGCCCUCGGCUCAACCGAGGAAUUGCGCCCUAAACUACUGUGCUCGAGGAAGCUAGAGGUGAGCAGAACAGAUGGUGGAGCGGUGAAAUGCGUAGAUAUCUGGAAGAACACCGGUGGCGCAAGCGGAUUGCUGGGCCAUAACUGACACUGAGGAACGAAAGCUAGGGGAGCGAAUGGG